CCUACGGGUGGCAGCAGUGAGGAAUAUUGGUCAAUGGACGAGAGUCUGAACCAGCCAAGUAGCGUGAAGGAUGACUGCCCUAUGGGUUGUAAACUUCUUUUAUAAAGGAAUAAAACGAGGCACGUGUGCCUUUUUGCAUGUACUUUAUGAAUAAGGAUCGGCUAACUCCGUGCCAGCGGCCGCGGUAAUACGGAGGAUCCGAGCGUUAUACGGAUUUAUUGGGUUUAAAGGGAUGGUAGAUGGGUUUUUAAGUCCGUUGUGAAAGUUUUGGGCUUAACCGUAAAAUUGCAAUUGAUACUGGGAGUCUUGAGUACAGUUGAGGUAGGCGGAAUUCGUGGUGUAGCGGUGAAAUGCUUAGAUAUCACGAAGAACCCCGAUUGCGAAGGCAGCUUACUAAACUGUGACUGACAUUGAUGCUCGAAAGUGUGGGUAUCAAACAGGAUUAGAUACCCCAGUAGUC
RNAcentral lists this ribosomal RNA (460 nucleotides) under uncultured bacterium. RNAcentral describes it as "partial 16S ribosomal RNA". It matches the Rfam family "Bacterial small subunit ribosomal RNA", at positions 338 to 795 of the family's 1533-position model. The record is from RNAcentral.